UGGGGAAUAUUGCACAAUGGGCGCAAGCCUGAUGCAGCGACGCCGCGUGGGGGAUGAAGGCCUUCGGGUUGUAAACUCCUUUCGCUAGGGACGAAGCAUUUUUGUGACGGUACCUGGAGAAGAAGCACCGGCUAACUACGUGCCAGCAGCCGCGGUAAUACGUAGGGUGCGAGCGUUGUCCGGAAUUACUGGGCGUAAAGAGCUCGUAGGUGGUUUGUCGCGUCGUUUGUGUAAGUCCACAGCUUAACUGUGGGACUGCAGGCGAUACGGGCAUAACUUGAGUGCUGUAGGGGAGACUGGAAUUCCUGGUGUAGCGGUGAAAUGCGCAGAUAUCAGGAGGAACACCGAUGGCGAAGGCAGGUCUCUGGGCAGUAACUGACGCUGAGGAGCGAAAGCAUGGGUAGCGAACAGG
RNAcentral lists this ribosomal RNA (412 nucleotides) under uncultured Corynebacterium sp. RNAcentral describes it as "bacterial SSU rRNA". It matches the Rfam family "Bacterial small subunit ribosomal RNA", at positions 355 to 776 of the family's 1533-position model. The record is from RNAcentral. Lineage: Bacteria; Bacillati; Actinomycetota; Actinomycetes; Mycobacteriales; Corynebacteriaceae.